CGGGGCAACCUGGCGGCGAGUGGCGAACGGGUGAGUAAUAUAUCGGAACGUACCCUGGAGUGGGGGAUAACGUAGCGAAAGUUACGCUAAUACCGCAUACGAUCUAAGGAUGAAAGUGGGGGAUUCGCAAGAACCUCAUGCUCCUGGAGCGGCCGAUAUCUGAUUAGCUAGUUGGUAGGGUAAAAGCCUACCAAGGCAUCGAUCAGUAGCUGGUCUGAGAGGACGACCAGCCACACUGGAACUGAGACACGGUCCAGACUCCUACGGGAGGCAGCAGUGGGGAAUUUUGGACAAUGGGCGCAAGCCUGAUCCAGCAAUGCCGCGUGAGUGAAGAAGGCCUUCGGGUUGUAAAGCUCUUUUGUCAGGGAAGAAACGGGGCUUUCUAAUACAGAGCGCUAAUGACGGUACCUGAAGAAUAAGCACCGGCUAACUACGUGCCAGCAGCCGCGGUAAUACGUAGGGUGCAAGCGUUAAUCGGAAUUACUGGGCGUAAAGCGUGCGCAGGCGGUUUUGUAAGACUGUCGUGAAAUCCCCGGGCUCAACCUGGGAAUGGCGAUGGUGACUGCAAGGCUAGAGUUUGGCAGAGGGGGGUAGAAUUCCACGUGUAGCAGUGAAAUGCGUAGAUAUGUGGAGGAACACCGAUGGCGAAGGCAGCCCCCUGGGUCAAAACUGACGCUCAUGCACGAAAGCGUGGGGAGCAAACAGGAUUAGAUACCCUGGUAGUCCACGCCCUAAACGAUGUCUACUAGUUGUCGGGUUUUAAUUAACUUGGUAACGCAGCUAACGCGUGAAGUAGACCGCCUGGGGAGUACGGUCGCAAGAUUAAAACUCAAAGGAAUUGACGGGGACCCGCACAAGCGGUGGAUGAUGUGGAUUAAUUCGAUGCAACGCGAAAAACCUUACCUACCCUUGACAUGGCAGAAAUCCCGGAGAGAUUCGGGAGUGCUCGAAAGAGAAUCUGCACACAGGUGCUGCAUGGCUGUCGUCAGCUCGUGUCGUGAGAUGUUGGGUUAAGUCCCGCAACGAGCGCAACCCUUGUCAUUAGUUGCUACGAAAGAGCACUCUAAUGAGACUGCCGGUGACAAACCGGAGGAAGGUGGGGAUGACGUCAAGUCCUCAUGGCCCUUAUGGGUAGGGCUUCACACGUCAUACAAUGGUACAUACAGAGGGCCGCCAACCCGCGAGGGGGAGCUAAUCCCAGAAAGUGUAUCGUAGUCCGGAUUGUAGUUUGCAACUCGACUGCAUGAAGUUGGAAUCGCUAGUAAUCGCGGAUCAGCAUGUCGCGGUGAAUACGUUCCCGGGUCUUGUACACACCGCCCGUCACACCAUGGGAGCGGGUUUUACCAGAAGUAGGUAG
This 1357-nucleotide ribosomal RNA is filed under the name Duganella phyllosphaerae. RNAcentral describes it as "16S ribosomal RNA". It matches the Rfam family "Bacterial small subunit ribosomal RNA", at positions 75 to 1433 of the family's 1533-position model. Lineage: Bacteria; Pseudomonadati; Pseudomonadota; Betaproteobacteria; Burkholderiales; Oxalobacteraceae. The record is from RNAcentral.